GGAAAAUUUCAAACCUAUGCUUCCCAAUUUAAAGAUAGAUGUUCCUCUAGUUGAUGUUAACUUGAAUUGGCUUCAUACAACUUCCACCUAAUCCUUGCUUCAUGUAGUUCAGGUUGUUUUUAAAGAGUCAAUGAUCACACCAAAAAGAAAAAGGAACAAAAUACAGUUUUCACAUGGAUUAUGGUAAAAGGAACCGCUCCUAUUAAUCUGUGAAGGGAAUUUUCUGUUAAGGAACUCAUGAAACACAACCUUUGUGAAUAUCCAAAUUCUACUAAGAGACUCAAUUUAUGAUCAGCUAUGAUAUCCUUCCUUUUAUUAUAUAUCCAUCCAAUGGCUUGAAGAAAGACAGCUUUAGGGGUAUGACACAAUUGAGAAAGAAUAUCUUGGAACACAGACAAAGAAUGUUAUAGAAGGACCUAUGCCUUUUGUUUUACUUUUCUUGAAGACCAGAGGAUCCCUGUCAUGUUAAGUGCAGCAGAGAAAAUUUAUGAACAGGUAAUCCUGAUCAUGGCUGAUGUUGUUGUUACAUGGUAUGGUGGGAGGCCCUUGAAUAAUUUGAUGUGCUGUAAGAUAACCUUGUAAAGCCACUUAUAAUUAUAGACAGGAAGGGAUCUCGAUCAUGCCUGUGCAACAGAGAAAAUUUAUGUAGGUCCACAUGAACAUGGCUGAUUCUGUUGUUAGUCCUAAGUAACUUGAUGUGCUGUGUAUGAUGAUCAUGUAAAUCCACUUAUAACAAUGCACAGGAAAGAGAGCUCUGCUAAUCUGGUUUGAUUUUUUUGCAUGGAAUGCUCAUGAAGAAGAAAGCUUCUACCUUUGUUUGGAAAUGAAGAAGCAAACAAGAAAGGGAGAAAAUGACAGAUGGGAAGCAAAUAGGAGGUUCAAUUUCAUAGGGCCACUUAAAAGUAUUCCCCUUUAAAAAUGGCUGGAAGAAAAACCUUUUUGGCUGUUUUUAAACUUUUUGUGAAAGUUAAAAUAACUUUUUUAUAACAAUUUUAAAAAUAAUCAGUACUUUUCUUGAGAAAAACAAAUAUAGUAAAAAUAAUUUUUAUUUAACUAAUUUUCUGUCUUUUUUUUUCUUCUAAUCAUUCAAACCACUGAUGGAAAAUUCUCACUUCUUUCUCUUCAUCCAAAUCAUAUAUUUUUUAUUUAUAUUUUAUUUCUCAAAAUUCUUGAACCUAGAAGUUUAAUGAUAAAAAUAAUGACAUUUUCGCAG
RNAcentral lists this long non-coding RNA (1213 nucleotides) under Phaseolus vulgaris (common bean). Its description in RNAcentral is "long non-coding RNA (PVUL_LNC005307)". Lineage: Eukaryota; Viridiplantae; Streptophyta; Magnoliopsida; Fabales; Fabaceae. The record is from RNAcentral.